GACGAACGCUGGCGGCGUGCUUAACACAUGCAAGUCGAACGGGGUAUGCGAGGAGCUUGCUUUGAGCAUACUUAAGUGGCGGACGGGUGAGUAACACGUGGGUAACCCUGCCCAUAAGAGGGGGAUAACAUCCGGAAACGGGUGCUAAUACCGCAUGGUUUCUGAUCGCAUGAUUGAGAAAGGAAGGCGCCUUUGUGCUGUCGCUUAUGGAUGGACCCG
This 219-nucleotide ribosomal RNA is filed under the name uncultured bacterium. Its description in RNAcentral is "partial 16S ribosomal RNA". It matches the Rfam family "Bacterial small subunit ribosomal RNA", at positions 28 to 233 of the family's 1533-position model. The record is from RNAcentral.